RNAcentral lists this ribosomal RNA (472 nucleotides) under uncultured Rikenella sp. RNAcentral describes it as "bacterial SSU rRNA". It matches the Rfam family "Bacterial small subunit ribosomal RNA", at positions 43 to 507 of the family's 1533-position model. Lineage: Bacteria; Pseudomonadati; Bacteroidota; Bacteroidia; Bacteroidales; Rikenellaceae. The record is from RNAcentral.
CAGGCCUAACACAUGCAAGUCGAGGGCGAGCAUAUGGAUUGCUGCAUCCAUGAUGGCGACGGCGCACGGUGCGUAACGCGUAUGUAACUUGCCUUAUGCAGGAGGAUAACCCGAACGAAAUUACGGCCUAAUACUCCAUAAGUGUCAGAGAGGCAUCUUUCGGGCAUGAAAGAUUUAUCGGCAUAAGAUAGACAUGCGUGACAUUAGCUAGUCGGUGAGGUAACGGCUCACCGAGGCGACGAUGUCUAGGGGUUCUGAGAGGAAGGUCCCCCACACUGGUACUGAGACACGGACCAGACUCCUACGGGAGGCAGCAGUGAGGAAUAUUGGUCAAUGGACGGAAGUCUGAACCAGCCAUGCCGCGUGCAGGAUGACGGCUCUAUGAGUUGUAAACUGCUUUUGUACGAGAAUAAUAGUUCUUACGUGUAGGGAUUUGAAUGUAUCGUACGAAUAAGGAUCGGCUAACUCCGUG